CCUACGGGAGGCUGCAGUGGGGAAUAUUGGACAAUGGGCGAAAGCCUGAUCCAGCCAUGCCGCGUGUGUGAAGAAGGCCUUCGGGUUGUAAAGCACUUUCAGUGGGGAAGAAAGCCUUGGGGCUAAUACCCUCGAGGAAGGACAUCACCCACAGAAGAAGCACCGGCUAACUCCGUGCCAGCAGCCGCGGUAAUACGGAGGGUGCGAGCGUUAAUCGGAAUUACUGGGCGUAAAGCGCGCGUAGGCGGUCUGAUAAGCCGGUUGUGAAAGCCCCGGGCUCAACCUGGGAACGGCAUCCGGAACUGUCAGGCUAGAGUGCAGGAGAGGAAGGUAGAAUUCCCGGUGUAGCAGUGAAAUGCGUAGAGAUCGGGAGGAAUACCAGUGGCGAAGGCGGCCUUCUGAACUGACACUGACGCUGAGGUGCGAAAGCGUGGGUAGCAAACAGGAUUAGAUACCCGAGUAGUC
RNAcentral lists this ribosomal RNA (465 nucleotides) under Vreelandella stevensii. RNAcentral's name for it is "partial 16S ribosomal RNA". It matches the Rfam family "Bacterial small subunit ribosomal RNA", at positions 338 to 795 of the family's 1533-position model. The record is from RNAcentral. Lineage: Bacteria; Pseudomonadati; Pseudomonadota; Gammaproteobacteria; Oceanospirillales; Halomonadaceae.